UGCANAUUUCCNUUAGCGGAGGAAAAGAAACCAACAGGGAUUGCCUCAGUAACGGCGAGUGAAGCGGCAAAAGCUCAAAUUUGAAAUCUAGCACCUUCGGUGUUUGAGUUGUAAUUUGAAGAUGGUAACCUUGGGUUUGGCUCUUGUCUAUGUUCCUUGGAACAGGACGUCAUAGAGGGUGAGAAUCCCGUCUGAUGAGAUGCCCAUUCCUAUGUAAGGUGCUAUCGAAGAGUCGAGUUGUUUGGGAAUGCAGCUCUAAGUGGGUGGUAAAUUCCAUCUAAAGCUAAAUAUUGGCGAGAGACCGAUAGCGAACAAGUACAGUGAUGGAAAGAUGAAAAGAACUUUGAAAAGAGAGUGAAAAAGUACGUGAAAUUGUUGAAAGGGAAGGGCAUUAGAUCAGACUUGGUGUUUUACGAUUAUCUUCUCUUCUUGAGUUGUGCACUCGUAUUUCACUGGGCCAGCAUCGAUUCGGAUGGCAAGAUAAUGGCAGUUGAAUGUGGCUUCACUUCGGUGGAGUGUUAUAGCUUCUGCUGAUAUUGCCUGUCUGGAUCGAGGGCUGCGUCUUUGACUAGGAUGCGCAA
Molecule: ribosomal RNA, 581 nt
Filed under: Hansenula anomala
Lineage: Eukaryota; Fungi; Ascomycota; Saccharomycetes; Phaffomycetales; Wickerhamomycetaceae
Description: eukaryotic LSU rRNA
Rfam family: Eukaryotic large subunit ribosomal RNA
Source: RNAcentral